AUUCAGGCUACCUUAAAACCAUUGUGAACGUUACCUAUAACCGUUGCUUCGGCGGGCGGCCCCGGGGUUUACCCCCCGGGCGCCCCUGGGCCCCACCGCGGGCGCCCGCCGGAGGUCACCAAACUCUUGAUAAUUUAUGGCCUCUCUGAGUCUUCUGUACUGAAUAAGUCAAAACUUUCAACAACGGAUCUCUUGGUUCUGGCAUCGAUGAAGAACGCAGCGAAAUGCGAUAAGUAAUGUGAAUUGCAGAAUUCAGUGAAUCAUCGAAUCUUUGAACGCACAUUGCGCCCGCCAGCAUUCUGGCGGGCAUGCCUGUUCGAGCGUCAUUUCAACCAUCAAGCCCCCGGGCUUGUGUUGGGGACCUGCGGCUGCCGCAGGCCCUGAAAAGCAGUGGCGGGCUCGCUGUCGCACCGAGCGUAGUAGCAUACAUCUCGCUCUGGUCGCGCCGCGGGUUCCGGCCGUUAAACCACCUUUUAACCCAAGGUUGACCUCGGAUCAGGUAGGAAGACCCGCUGAACUUAAGCAUAUCAAUAAGCGGAGGAAGAUUUUUAAAAUUCGAU
RNAcentral lists this ribosomal RNA (560 nucleotides) under Chaetomium globosum. RNAcentral describes it as "eukaryotic LSU rRNA". The stretch from base 173 to 326 matches the Rfam family "5.8S ribosomal RNA". The record is from RNAcentral. Lineage: Eukaryota; Fungi; Ascomycota; Sordariomycetes; Sordariales; Chaetomiaceae.